UACGGAGGGAGCUAGCGUUGUUCGGAAUUACUGGGCGUAAAGCGCACGUAGGCGGCUUUUUAAGUCAGGGGUGAAAUCCCGGGGCUCAACCCCGGAACUGCCCUUGAAACUGGAAAGCUAGAAUCUUGGAGAGGCGAGUGGAAUUCCGAGUGUAGAGGUGAAAUUCGUAGAUAUUCGGAAGAACACCAGUGGCGAAGGCGGCUCACUGGACUGGUAUUGACGCUGAGGUGCGAAAGCGUGGGGAGCAAACAGG
This 253-nucleotide ribosomal RNA is filed under the name uncultured bacterium. RNAcentral's name for it is "partial 16S ribosomal RNA". It matches the Rfam family "Bacterial small subunit ribosomal RNA", at positions 524 to 776 of the family's 1533-position model. The record is from RNAcentral.